RNAcentral lists this ribosomal RNA (427 nucleotides) under uncultured bacterium. RNAcentral's name for it is "partial 16S ribosomal RNA". It matches the Rfam family "Bacterial small subunit ribosomal RNA", at positions 355 to 774 of the family's 1533-position model. The record is from RNAcentral.
UGGGGAAUAUUGGACAAUGGGCGAAAGCCUGAUCCAGCCAUGCCGCGUGUGUGAAGAAGGUCUUCGGAUUGUAAAGCACUUUAAGUUGGGAGGAAGGGCAUUAACCUAAUACGUUAGUGUUUUGACUUUACCGACAGAAUAAGCACCGGCUAACUCUGUGCCAGCAGCCGCGGUAAUAAAGAGGGUGCAAGCGUUAAUCGGAAUUACUGGGCGUAAAGCGCGCGUAGGUGGUUUGUUAAGUUGGAUGUGAAAUCCCCGGGCUCAACCUGGGAACUGCAUUCAAAACUGACUGACUAGAGUAUGGUAGAGGGUGGUGGAAUUUCCUGUGUAGCGGUGAAAUGCGUAGAUAUAGGAAGGAACACCAGUGGCGAAGGCGACCACCUGGACUAAUACUGACACUGAGGUGCGAAAGCGUGGGGAGCAAACA